CUACGGGCCGCUGCAGUCGAGAAUCUUUUGCAAUGCCCGAAAGGGUGACAAUGCGACGCCGCGUGAGCGACGAAGGCCUUCGGGUUGUAAAGCUCUGUCAGCUGGGACGAAUGCAGAAAUAUUAAUACUAUUUCUGUUUGACGGUACCAGCAGAGGAAGCCACGGCUAACUCCGUGCCAGCAGCCGCGGUAAUACGGAGGUGGCGAGCGUUGUUCGGAUUUACUGGGUGUAAAGGUCAUGUAGGCGUCUUAUUAAGUCGGGUGUGAAAUCCCACGGCUCAACCGUGGAACUGCACUCGAUACUGGUAGGAUGGAGUACGAGAGAGGUAAGCGGAAUUCCGGAAGUAAGGGUGAAAUCUGUAGAUAUCCGGAAGAACACCAUUAGCGAAGGCGGCUUACUGGCUCGAUACUGACGCUGAGAUGAGAAAGCUAGGGGAGCGAACAGGAUUAGAUACCCCAGUAGUC
Molecule: ribosomal RNA, 464 nt
Filed under: uncultured bacterium
Lineage: Bacteria
Description: partial 16S ribosomal RNA
Rfam family: Bacterial small subunit ribosomal RNA
Source: RNAcentral